AGAAUAUCUCCUCAUACAGGUCAUUUUCUAUUUCGUCAAUGUGUUUUUGGUCUAAAAAGCUAGCGUCUUUUUGUCUCUUUAUGGUAUUUUUUGCCUUUAUUUUGAUUCUACAAUUGUACCCAGCAAGAAUUGAACAGCUUUUUUAACAACAAAACAGGUGAACAACUUGUACUGUAGCUUCUUUGUGGAAGAUAUUUACUGCAACUGCAAUGUUGGGGAAUUUUGCAAAACAACAGCAACAUACUAAUUCUACAGGUGCCGGUAGGUGUAAAAACAUGUAGAGGUAAAAAAAAAAAAUUCUUCUUCUCUGGUCUUUCACAGAAAUCCAUUUCCUUCUCAGUUAAGCCGGUUAUUUCAUUUGUUUCAAGAUACACAGUCCCUCCAGAAAAACGCGAUACUGCGAUCGCAUAAUUCAAAGUCCGCAUAUUUAUUCUCUUUUUCGUCAAACCGCAAUUUUUGCAAUUUCCCGCAAUUUUAUUGCAUAAAAUUGCAUAAAUAUCCCGCAUAUUCCAUUGCAUUUUUUGAGAAAACGUGCCGCAUCAUCAAGGGUUUUUGCCCGCAAAAA
This is a long non-coding RNA of Etheostoma spectabile (orangethroat darter), 565 nucleotides long. RefSeq lists it as uncharacterized. The record is from RefSeq and is a predicted model, not a curated record. Lineage: Eukaryota; Metazoa; Chordata; Actinopteri; Perciformes; Percidae. The transcript has 2 exons.